Molecule: ribosomal RNA, 253 nt
Filed under: uncultured bacterium
Lineage: Bacteria
Description: partial 16S ribosomal RNA
Rfam family: Bacterial small subunit ribosomal RNA
Source: RNAcentral
GACGUAGGGCGCGAGCGUUGUCCGGAAUUAUUGGGCGUAAAGGGCUCGUAGGCGGUUUGUCGCGUCGGGAGUGAAAACCUUGGGCUUAACUCAGGGCUUGCUUUCGAUACGGGCAGACUAGAGGUAUGCAGGGGAGAACGGAAUCCCUGGUGUAGCGGUGAAAUGCGCAGAUAUCAGGAGGAACACCGGUGGCGAAGGCGGUUCUCUGGGCAUGAUCUGACGCUGAGGAGCGAAAGUGUGGGGAGCGAACAGG